Molecule: transfer RNA, 69 nt
Filed under: Diceratias pileatus
Lineage: Eukaryota; Metazoa; Chordata; Actinopteri; Lophiiformes; Diceratiidae
Description: tRNA-His
Rfam family: tRNA
About the family: Transfer RNA (tRNA) molecules are approximately 80 nucleotides in length. Their secondary structure includes four short double-helical elements and three loops (D, anti-codon, and T loops).
Source: RNAcentral
GUAGGCAUAGUUUAACAAAAACAUUAGAUUGUGAUUCUAAAAACAGGGGUGGAAGCCCCCUUGCCCACC